UGAACUGGCCAAAGGGAUAUUCCAUGCUACAGAAUGUAAUGACCAGUGUAUGAACUGGGGGUAUUGACUGGGAGCUGCUUGUUGAGGGACAAGAUGAGCAUCAGUGAGUGAGGGGCAAUGGAAAAGGAGCCCAGAAAACAAUUUGUUUAUUAUAAGCAGGUCAGUCCUCGAGGGGACUCAUGGAAUCACGCAGUGGGAGAGGACAAUCAUGGCACUGAAAUGAGAUGUGGGGAGAACAAAAGAAGAAGGGUCAUGAAUGAGCGCUUAUGUUUUUGUACCCAAAAUGGUGAGUGCGUCAGAAGAAGAAAACAUUGGUUUGGAUGACAUUCUUGAAGAACUGAAAAGAUAAGUGAAGAGGAAUCAGAUGACCAAACUGCCAAACAUGUAAAACCAACAUCAUUAUGCACUUGUUAAUUCUUUUUUUUUAAUCUCUAGUCUGGUUUGGCUGAGGCACCCUUAUGAUGUAAUCUGCAACUGGACAGGGCAAUUCUUGCUGUCCCUGUAAAACACAGUCCCACACUCCACACCUUCAAGGUUCCUGAGGACUUU
Long non-coding RNA from Cyanistes caeruleus (blue tit), 549 nucleotides. RefSeq lists it as uncharacterized. The record is from RefSeq and is a predicted model, not a curated record. NCBI's taxonomy places the organism in Eukaryota, Metazoa, Chordata, Aves, Passeriformes, Paridae.